UCUCCGUGGGUGAACCUGCGGAGGGAUCAUUACAGAGUUCUCGCCCUCGCGGGUAGAUCUCCCACCCACUGUUAUCGUUACUGUGUUGCUUUGGCGGGCCGCCGGGCCCCGCUCGGCCGCCGGCUCCGGCUGGCGCGCGCCCGCCAGAGGCCCAGCAAACUCUGAAUGUUAGUGUCGUCUGAGUACUAUAUAAUAGUUAAAACUUUCAACAACGGAUCUCUUGGUUCUG
Molecule: unclassified non-coding RNA, 229 nt
Filed under: plant metagenome
Description: partial contains small subunit ribosomal RNA, internal transcribed spacer 1, and 5.8S ribosomal RNA
Source: RNAcentral